AAAAUAACACCUUAUUUUAACUGAUAAGGGUAUUUUUCUUUAAUGGAGAGAAAUCAAUGGCUCGUAUUGCCGGCGUAAACAUUCCGGAU
Psychrobacter arcticus 273-4 is the source of this 89-nucleotide non-coding RNA. NCBI's taxonomy places the organism in Bacteria, Pseudomonadati, Pseudomonadota, Gammaproteobacteria, Moraxellales, Moraxellaceae. The record is from Rfam.